UGUUGAUGGUUGUAGUGGAGAGAAUCAAUUCACGCAGCCGCCGAGGAAAAAAAACUAGAAAAGGGUUGGGCGAGAAUAACGUCUUCUUCCGGUGGUUGGAAAAAAAUGAAUUUUUCUUCAGAUUGCUUGAGUUGGAAGUUCAGCAAAAGGGGAAAACCCAAGUCUCGGAGUGAAUUCUCGAUUGGUUAAGGUUAUGAGCCUGGAUUUUUGUUGUACUUGUCAUUCUCUUCUUUUCCAAGGCUUCUUGGAGAUUUGUCAGGUAGCUAUUUCCAUCGCAGCAGACUUUCUUCUCCUUAAUUAUGAUCUUGUUCUAUUCUAGAAACAAGUUCAUUUGAGACUUGAGUUUUUCUUUUGAAUCAAUUGUAAUACUUUAGAGGCUUGUACACGUGACUACCAGGUUUUGGGGGGUCUUAUUAAGUUACUUAUAUUUUAUUUCCGCACUUUAUGGUAAUGGUUGAGUUUUAGGCUGACUUGUCUUGGUGGGAUAAGACGAGUGCCAUCACGUCCAUUUUUGGGUCGUGACACAUCUACUAAAAGUAUUUAGCUACUGGUGAAAUAUGUAAAGAUGUUUGAGACUUUCAUUUCCCUCAUUCAGUUUCUUUCAUUUAAUUCUUACAUGAAGUUUAAGUUCAAAUUGUCCAAUUUAAUUAAUUA
Solanum lycopersicum (tomato) is the source of this 654-nucleotide long non-coding RNA. RefSeq lists it as uncharacterized. The record is from RefSeq and is marked validated. Lineage: Eukaryota; Viridiplantae; Streptophyta; Magnoliopsida; Solanales; Solanaceae.